Molecule: ribosomal RNA, 2089 nt
Filed under: Triticum aestivum (bread wheat)
Lineage: Eukaryota; Viridiplantae; Streptophyta; Magnoliopsida; Poales; Poaceae
Description: partial small subunit ribosomal RNA
Source: RNAcentral
GUGCGACGGUUCCUUCCUGGCGCUGGCGGGCUAGGGCGCUGUCUGGUAAGGCAAGGCCACGGCCGCUCCGCUGCUGUCUCGCUGUCUCGACAGUAAGGAGAAGGCCUACCGCAGCUGCCGGCCCCACCAGGAGAGGUAGUUCCUGAGGAAGGAGCGGGAGGGGUGGUUCUGGCCGCUGUCCCGAGAGCUUCUCCAACUCUUUUUGUAGAGGAGCAACGCCGUUCACGAGAGACCACUACCUCUUCGUCCUCGCUUAGUUCUCGUUCAGGACGUUUAUCGUGAACUUUAAACGUUCCUCCCGCACGAAAGGGAGAAACAAGUCUUAGACGGAAGGAACCCAACCCCUCAUUCUUUUCUAAACCAAUAAACGACCACGUAAAACGAACCCGUCUUUCAACUACUCUUAAUAACGACACACUUCAUAUAACUUCUAGUGCACCUCGAAAAUCUAAAGGAUCAACAAACGAUGUUCUUCAGCCUGGAACGUGAUUUGACACCCUAAUACCACUCUCUUACGUAUUUUGUAGGUUGGGAACGGUUUAUAUAGAACCUUAGGUUAUCGAAACUCGACAAAAAGCUCAUACAACUCGACGGCUUGAAGCUGUAACGAAGACUACGAGAUUUGUGGAAGUUCCUAAACGAAUGGUUUGUACUUUGACAACAGAGACACAUGAACUCGAGGGUGAUGCUUGUCAAGAAACUUGCCAUGUGUUCCUAGAAUUGUAGUUGAUUGAUACAUUGUUCCGCAGUCAGCCACUUCAAGGAAAGUCUUAAAGAUAACCUCGGAAGUUUGAGAUUUUAUUACUUCGCUAUGUAAGUCCUUCAAGCAAAGGAUUUAUAAUACUAACCAGAUGACUUCUAGGAUAGAUAAACAUCCUCACAAUGAUGAUUGGCCGUAAAAAAAUCCUAAGUUCGUUUUUAUAGUUUUAUACGCGGAAGGUGCAAAAAUUCCACAAGCAACGGUUAGGUUUGUUCGGAGGACCAUAAUAACUUCGAAACGCUCUGUUAGCGUUCCUUAACAACUUUGAUGAGGUGUUAGAAGGACGUUCAUUUCCGCUUCUACUUGAACUGCUCCUCUCUCUGGACUAGUAAGUGGCUUAGCUCUUCAACAUUACGACUAGUGGAUAGUCUUCAAGACUGAACAAACCGUAUAGUCUUCAAGUCUUGUUUGGAUAGUUUUCAAGUCUUGGUUGUGGGACAUUCGGAGGUUCUCGACGCAGUUAAACCUCCUGUAACGUCAAGCCGCUUCCUACGUAGUUGCUUUGAACUCGGUUCUUAUAAUAACGGCCAUGUUAGGCCGGGUCAAAGACACUGAAAGGGAGGACCACUAGGGGGUUCACUAUUAAGUAGUUGUUCUUUCUUUUAGACUUCAAUGUCGUCUUGCCUCUCGGAUCGAGUUUUUAGCCAUUUAUUUUUUGUCGUGUGACCAUCGUCUCUUACCGAAACCUCUCCGCAUUAAGUCGAUCGAGGCAAGAACCGCGCGUGGGACCGCUAAGUCCACUAGUAGGGAGAUGAACCUACUCCGGUUCCGGAACGCCUGGGACCUCGAGUGGGACUAGAAGGGGAAACAGACGACGCGGAACAGGGGUCGGAAGCGCAGGCGACGGCCGGAAGGUCGGUACUGACGGCCGCCACCGUGGCCAUGGCCCUAGGGGGGACGGCGGAAGAGCCGUUGGAACGAGGACCAACGUCGCUGCCAUCCUCACGAGGGCUCCUGGACGGGUCCGAACGGUGGAGGGAACCGUCGUCGGCCAAAGACCCCGCGGCGACCGUGCUAGCGGCCACAGCGGCAUCCACGCCCUCGAAACGGACGACCUCUGCCGCGGCCACGUGCACGGCCGUUAUGUUGGCCACCGCCACGUGGUGGCACGCAGCACCGUCCGCGAGGGGGCCCAUGCGGCCAUCGCCGUCGAGGCGGCAGCACCCCAACCGGGCACUCCGCCGCUUCUCCGGGCUUCUGGCCGGCCCGCACCUUCCGAGAGACUUCGGACGAUGUCUACCAUCAGCCGCUGAACGGCAGCCGCCGGCCGAGGAACAACAAGUAGACGUAGUGACGACAUGCUUCCUGUCCUGUUUGAAGCCUACGUCG